Molecule: non-coding RNA, 50 nt
Filed under: Alexandrium tamarense
Lineage: Eukaryota; Dinophyceae; Gonyaulacales; Pyrocystaceae
Source: RNAcentral
UUUUUUUUUUUUUUUUUUUUUUGCUUUGACUUGCGCAAAUUGCAUGAAGU